CAUCACCGGCGCGUCACUUUCGUGCCGGAGGUCGCUUGGCCGACAGGGCGAGUGCCUGUGCCCCGCUCCGUGCCCCGUGUAGGUGCUGCUGCAUUUGUUGGCCGUAGUAAACGCUGGUCGCUGCCCGGAGUCCUCUCUCUCCCUCCCUCCUCUCGUGUGUGUCUGUGUGUGUGCCGGCUGUGACCGAAAAGUUGCUGAAGGCCGGUGGUGGCGGUGGUCUCCCCUGUCUGCUGUGUCCCUGGGAGUGGGUUUCUUCACUGAGUGUGUCUGUCACGUGUUUAUUAUUUUUUUUGGUGGAUCCCUCCCCCUGCACUAGCGCUCGUUCAUCCACUAGGCCUCAGCCCCGAAUAAGUUUUUUUCCCUCUCCCCUUACUGUGUGAAUGGUUGACCAGUGCUUUUAACAAUAAUUAUUUAAUAAAAUGUGUUUUAAUUUUUGGAACCACGUCUCCUGUCUUUUGAGUUAACGAACCUGUGUGCCUUAAGUUGUAAAAUUAAUUCUCUGGGUGAAAUUCCAAGGGUGGCGUUGUCGAGCCCCCUUUUUCUGGUAACAAUAUUAUAUUCACUCACCCCC
This is a long non-coding RNA of Plectropomus leopardus (leopard coralgrouper), 571 nucleotides long. RefSeq lists it as uncharacterized. The record is from RefSeq and is a predicted model, not a curated record. NCBI's taxonomy places the organism in Eukaryota, Metazoa, Chordata, Actinopteri, Perciformes, Serranidae.